RNAcentral lists this ribosomal RNA (766 nucleotides) under Curtobacterium sp. Its description in RNAcentral is "bacterial SSU rRNA". It matches the Rfam family "Bacterial small subunit ribosomal RNA", at positions 723 to 1486 of the family's 1533-position model. Lineage: Bacteria; Bacillati; Actinomycetota; Actinomycetes; Micrococcales; Microbacteriaceae. The record is from RNAcentral.
AGAUCUCUGGGCCGUAACUGACGCUGAGGAGCGAAAGCGUGGGGAGCGAACAGGAUUAGAUACCCUGGUAGUCCACGCCGUAAACGUUGGGCGCUAGAUGUAGGGACCUUUCCACGGUUUCUGUGUCGUAGCUAACGCAUUAAGCGCCCCGCCUGGGGAGUACGGCCGCAAGGCUAAAACUCAAAGGAAUUGACGGGGGCCCGCACAAGCGGCGGAGCAUGCGGAUUAAUUCGAUGCAACGCGAAGAACCUUACCAAGGCUUGACAUACACCGGAAACGGCCAGAGAUGGUCGCCCCCUUGUGGUCGGUGUACAGGUGGUGCAUGGUUGUCGUCAGCUCGUGUCGUGAGAUGUUGGGUUAAGUCCCGCAACGAGCGCAACCCUCGUUCUAUGUUGCCAGCGCGUUAUGGCGGGGACUCAUAGGAGACUGCCGGGGUCAACUCGGAGGAAGGUGGGGAUGACGUCAAAUCAUCAUGCCCCUUAUGUCUUGGGCUUCACGCAUGCUACAAUGGCCGGUACAAAGGGCUGCGAUACCGUAAGGUGGAGCGAAUCCCAAAAAGCCGGUCUCAGUUCGGAUUGAGGUCUGCAACUCGACCUCAUGAAGUCGGAGUCGCUAGUAAUCGCAGAUCAGCAACGCUGCGGUGAAUACGUUCCCGGGCCUUGUACACACCGCCCGUCAAGUCAUGAAAGUCGGUAACACCCGAAGCCGGUGGCCUAACCCUUGUGGAAGGAGCCGUCGAAGGUGGGAUCGGUGAUUAGGACUAAGU